UCCAGGUGAGUAACAUGCUGUCAUUCACUUUUAACAGUAAGACUUGUCUAUACCACUGAUUAAAUCAGACCCACAGUGUAAACAUGUUCAUACUGCUGAUUCUUAAUAAUGAAUAUACCACUGCCUGUAUUAUGUAUUUUACAGUAUAUCCAUAUUUGUAUUACUCUUGUUUAUAUAGUGUGUGAACAUUGAAUUCUUAUCAUACCUGUGGUUGUCUACCCUUUUCCUUGCAUUUACAUUUCAUAAUACUGUAUUUUUGCAUAUUCAUAUCUAUCCUCACAAUUUAUUUUAUACAUACACACAAACAGAUCUUACAUGUUUGAAUAUAAAAAAACUUGUAUGAUCUAAAGGAAUUGUCCUAUCACAUGUUUCUGUAUCAGGACCAGAAGUCCAGCCUUUUCUUCUGCAUCUGGCCUCAUCAAUCAUCAACCACAUUACAUCAACACCUUGAGGGAUGGAAGAAUCCACCUCAGGCAAGAAAAGGGUGACAAAGACGUUCGCUGGUGCUGCUUCUGAAACAGUUGCCUGGGUUACCAAUGUUGGCGUUUUGGCUUUCCAGGAUGGCGGCCAGAAUGAUGACGCCACAUCUUGGAGGCUUUACUGGAUUCUCUCUGCAUCCAGGACAUUUGGAGAAAUUACAGUAGAAAUGUAAAAUAAUCCUUCAUAGCUCAGUGAGGACAGAGCAACAGUCUGACAGGUCGACCGGAAGCUGUUGCAGCCGUCCAUAAGUGAUGGAGGGAAGGAGCCGUUAUUCAUCAUCAGUCUUAGUGUUAGAAAACGUUUUACAGUUUAACGUUAGCACACAUGCUAACUUCAGCUACAAUAACAAGUUACUCCUCACAUAUAUGAUAUUAGCCUGUAAGACUAAUGUAACAGUUGUGACAGCUAACCGUGUUAGCAGCAUCUUAGCACGGCUCAGCCAGGAGCCUGUUGAUGCAGGUGGGUUUACCUGGUGUCCUCGAGGACACAGGUCAGAUCCACCCCUCCCUCCUCCCCAGCUCCACCCUCUCAUCCAAAUAUAAAAGAAACCCAAGAUGGCGACGUCGUCCAGUAACCCAAACUCAUGGCUUCAAAAUGGAAGUUUGCCACUUGACACAGACGCAUAGACAACAGAACAGUGUUUUAGUGUUUGGUCUGACUGAAGAUCUUGUUUAUUGAACAAAGUUCCCUGAGCUGAUGGAAUCUGGUGCCAAAGCAAAUGAAUUGGUGAUUGUCAAGUUUGUACUGUUUUCUUUUAUGGUAUAUGGUGCACAAACACACAGACUAGUAAAGUCCAGGCAGGAAGAGAACAACAAGAAGCAGCUGGUUCAGCUUCAACCCUGGUUCUUUCCUGCAGUGUUGCGUGUUCUCCUUGUUUCCUCCAGGACUCUGAUCACUAGAACAAAGACAUGACAUUUCAUUCACUGAGGAAUCUAAACUGUCCGUAGGUUUGAUUAUGUGUCUGUGUUGUGUGAUAAACCAUUUACCUUCUUUCCUCCCAGUGCAUGCUGGGAUACAUUCCAGUACUUCAGACUUUUUUGUUUGAAGUUUGAAUGUUUGAUGUGAUGAAGAAAAGUUUGUUUCAUUUCAGCCAGAGUCACAAAGUUUGAAUGUAGAAGUCACAUAAAUGUCAAACUAAUUAGAUUUACCCUGAAAUUACAGAGAUCUUUAAAUUGUUUGUAUUCACAUUAACCUUUAUAAUAAUAAGUUACAUUUUUAAUUACAGAUCAUUACUGUCCUUUUACACAGAUUUGUAUGUAAUUUAAGCACAAAAAAUACUGUAUAAAUAAGUAAUUUCUCUUUACAAAAAAUGGGAAAUAAAUCAUUAUUAUUGGCGUAAUGCUUAAAAUUGAAUUACAGACUUUUGUUCACAAUUUAAAACAGAAAAUUACUGUUAAAGUUAUUUUGCUUAAAAUUAGGAUUUUUUUUUAUAGUGUAAGACAUUUUUAAUUUUUAUACCUUACUAUACAUACUUUUUUUAAAUUUUUAUGACACUUUACUAUGACUUUUUUUUAUUUUCAUGCCUUAAUUUACUGACGUUUUUAUCCCUUACUAAACAAGGUUUUUAUUCUCACAUUCCUUGUUAGUACAGUGGAUAAAACUGUCGCCUUUACAAUGAGAAAGUUCUUGGUUCAAAUCCUGAACACGGAGGGUUUUUUUUGACAAUGUUACGCUUUACUGUAGUGUGACGUUUUUAUAGCCAACUAUACUGUUUUUUUUAAUUUUCAUGCCUUACUAUACUAUGUUUUUAUGCCUGAAUGUACUGUGAAAUUUUUGGGCAUUUUUAUCACUUACUAAACAAAGUUUUUAUUCUCAUAUUCCUUUGUAGUGCUUUGGUUAGAACAGCUGCCUUCCAGUGAGAAGGUUCUGGGUUUGAAUCGUGGGCCUUGGGCCAUUCUGCAUGUUCUCCCUGCACCUUCAUGGGUUCUCUCUCUGUACUCCUGCUUUCUUAAGGUUUCCUUAAAACGUUCACUGAAGUUUUCUCCUUAUACUUAAGGAAUCAUUUAAAGUUAAUGAAAUCGUUGCUCAAAAGACCUUAGUGACCAAAGUAGGUAAAAGUCACCUCUGAGUUUAAUGUGAUGAAUGGAGAAAAUGAAUGUAACCCAAGAAGACGCACCUAUUCUACAGCUUUUCCUUAACUAAGGAAACCUUUACCUUUACUGUUACCUACACACACACCUUAGCUCCUGCUGUAGCUAACUAUACAUCUCCAGCCCCACUGCUUCCUGUCAGUAAAUCUGUAGAGUAUGGGUUGAGCUAAAUACUCACAGCAGACCAAACUGUAGAGCCACCUCAGUCAACACCAGAGGAUGCUGUGGUUCACAACCUGCACUGCAGGAAAAGAGGCAAACACACUCCUCUGCACUAAUGAGAUCGGCUUCACUGUGGUAAACACCAGCUUUAUGUGUUUUUAACUGGGCAACAAAUAUGACCUAAUUAAUAUCUCUUCAUUUUGCCACAGUUGUGAAAACCAAACUAAAGAUAAAGGGUGUAGGGGUGUAAAAGGUUUCAUUAUGUUCUGACCUGGAAUCAGUCAAAAAAACUCACAAAGGCCCCAGACUUCUGCUGCAGGCCAAGAAAUGUAGUUUAGUAUUAAAUCUUAGAGAAAUCCACCAGAGGAGCCAGAAUCAGUGACAGUGAGUGACACAAAUGUAAAGUAUCAGUGACAGUGUUUCAGGAUCUCAGAGAUGGAUUUCACUUGUUUAAAGAAAAAUAAGAUCAUUAGACUCAGAACUAGAAUAAUGAGUUGAUGAAUGUUUUUUUUCCUGGCUUUCAGUCGAUCACUCGCUGAUGGUCUUUUCAGAGAAACAGCAUCUGUCACUGUUGACAAAGGAGGGUUUGUGGGUGAAGUGCCUUGCUCAAGGCCACAGGAGUGACAGCAUUUCCCCCCCCACCCCCCAACCUACCAGCUUAAAGGCUUUGAGCUGCUGCUGCCCCAGGAUGAUAUACUGCCCCGGGUCCUGCUCAUCUCCAGUCGCUGCGUGUGCUUCGGUCCCUUCUCCUCAGGAUACACAGCAUGGAGGCAGCGCACAGAAAUACACUGAGAGAGGAGCCGGCCCCGACGCUCCCCGCUCGGCUGUCAGCCGCUGUCCCUUCUACCUGAUGCAGGUCUACGUCUGAGCCUCACAUGGACCUCUCUGACUGCUCCUGCCUGGAGUGAACCGAGCCUGUGAACGCAAUGACCCCGUCCAAUCAACAGCCCCCGAGAGGAAGGAGAGGGGGAAAAAAAAAAAAACCUUCUGCGCAGCAUAUCAAAGCAGAACUCCUGUACCCCUCGCUUCAAAUUAGAAAAGCAUAAAAGUGCGAGAAAAAUAAGCAUCACACAUGUUUCGAAUAUGCGGCGUUUUAAUUGAUAAUAAAUAGUGUUUUUGUGGACUGAAGUGCUGAGGUGGUAAAAGGAGGUUUUUUUUAAUGGAAAAUCAGCCGAGGAGAAAAAUAAUUGAUGGUUGUUUUGAUAGUUGAACCAGUUCCCUCAGCUGACCUGAUGCUGCACCUGCGAAUGAUAUUAACUUCAGUCAGACUCAAUUGUUGCUGCAUUAGAGGAAUAAUAAUGUGAACAUGUGUAUCAGUGAUAACCAGAUUAUCAGGCUCCAGUCCAGUGGCCCCCGACCUUUUACACUGACCAUGAACCCUGUGACUCGUCUCUGCUGCCGCUUUUUAACAGAGACGUAAAAUCCCCCAAAACGUCGUGACGUCUGAGUUCAGACAACAAGAGGCCUGAAGAGCUGAACGUGUCCGUUUUUAAUGUAGAUAGUCAAGGCAAGUUUAUUUACAGAGCAUCAUUCAAACACAAGGCAACUCAAAGUGUUUUACAGAGGCGAAGAAAUACAUUAAAAACAU
Molecule: long non-coding RNA, 4320 nt
Organism: Seriola aureovittata
Lineage: Eukaryota; Metazoa; Chordata; Actinopteri; Carangiformes; Carangidae
Exons: 4
Source: RefSeq, a predicted model, not a curated record